RNAcentral lists this unclassified non-coding RNA (236 nucleotides) under plant metagenome. Its description in RNAcentral is "partial contains small subunit ribosomal RNA, internal transcribed spacer 1, and 5.8S ribosomal RNA". The record is from RNAcentral.
UUUCCGUAGGUGAACCUGCGGAAGGAUCAUUACCGAGUGAGGGCCCUCUGGGUCCAACCUCCCACCCGUGUUUAUCGUACCUUGUUGCUUCGGUGGGCCCGCCUCACGGCCGCCGGGGGGCACCCGCCCCCGGGCCCGCGCCUGCCGAAGACACCAUUGAACGCUGUCUGAAGAUUGCAGUCUGAGCAUCUUAGCUAAAUCAGUUAAAACUUUCAACAACGGAUCUCUUGGUUCCG